Molecule: ribosomal RNA, 1372 nt
Filed under: uncultured bacterium
Lineage: Bacteria
Description: bacterial SSU rRNA
Rfam family: Bacterial small subunit ribosomal RNA
Source: RNAcentral
GAUGAACGCUGGCGGCGUGCCUAGUACAUGCAAGUCGAGCGAACAGACAAGGAGCUUGCUCCUUUGACGUUAGCGGCGGACGGGUGAGUAACACGUGGGUAACCUACCUAUAAGACUGGGAUAACUUCGGGAAACCGGAGCUAAUACCGGAUAAUAUUUCGAACCGCAUGGUUCGAUAGUGAAAGAUGGUUUUGCUAUCACUUAUAGAUGGACCCGCGCCGUAUUAGCUAGUUGGUAAGGUAACGGCUUACCAAGGCGACGAUACGUAGCCGACCUGAGAGGGUGAUCGGCCACACUGGAACUGAGACACGGUCCAGACUCCUACGGGAGGCAGCAGUAGGGAAUCUUCCGCAAUGGGCGAAAGCCUGACGGAGCAACGCCGCGUGAGUGAUGAAGGUCUUCGGAUCGUAAAACUCUGUUAUUAGGGAAGAACAUACGUGUAAGUAACUAUGCACGUCUUGACGGUACCUAAUCAGAAAGCCACGGCUAACUACGUGCCAGCAGCCGCGGUAAUACGUAGGUGGCAAGCGUUAUCCGGAAUUAUUGGGCGUAAAGCGCGCGUAGGCGGUUUUUUAAGUCUGAUGUGAAAGCCCACGGCUCAACCGUGGAGGGUCAUUGGAAACUGUAAAACUUGAGUGCAGAAGAGGAAAGUGGAAUUCCAUGUGUAGCGGUGAAAUGCGCAGAGAUAUGGAGGAACACCAGUGGCGAAGGCGACUUUCUGGUCUGUAACUGACGCUGAUGUGCGAAAGCGUGGGGAUCAAACAGGAUUAGAUACCCUGGUAGUCCACGCCGUAAACGAUGAGUGCUAAGUGUUAGGGGGUUUCCGCCCCUUAGUGCUGCAGCUAACGCAUUAAGCACUCCACCUGGGGAGUACGACCGCAAGGUUGAAACUCAAAGGAAUUGACGGGGACCCGCACAAGCGGUGGAGCAUGUGGUUUAAUUCGAAGCAACGCGAAGAACCUUACCAAAUCUUGACAUCCUUUGACAACUCUAGAGAUAGAGCCUUCCCCUUCGGGGGACAAAGUGACAGGUGGUGCAUGGUUGUCGUCAGCUCGUGUCGUGAGAUGUUGGGUUAAGUCCCGCAACGAGCGCAACCCUUAAGCUUAGUUGCCAUCAUUAAGUUGGGCACUCUAAGUUGACUGCCGGUGACAAACCGGAGGAAGGUGGGGAUGACGUCAAAUCAUCAUGCCCCUUAUGAUUUGGGCUACACACGUGCUACAAUGGACAAUACAAAGGGCAGCGAAACCGCGAGGUCAAGCAAAUCCCAUAAAGUUGUUCUCAGUUCGGAUUGUAGUCUGCAACUCGACUACAUGAAGCUGGAAUCGCUAGUAAUCGUAGAUCAGCAUGCUACGGUGAAUACGUUCCCGGGUCU